UACAGAGGUCUCAAGCGUUGUUCGGAUUCAUUGGGCGUAAAGGGUGCGUAGGCGGCGCGGUAAGUCGGAUGUGAAAUCUCGGAGCUUAACUUCGAAACUGCAUUCGAUACUGCCGUGCUUGAGGACUGGAGAGGAGACUGGAAUUUACGGUGUAGCGGUGAAAUGCGUAGAUAUCGGAAGGAAGACCAGUGGCGAAGGCGGGUCGUCGUGGACAGUUCCUGACACUGAGGCACGAAGGCCAGGGAGCAAACGGG
Molecule: ribosomal RNA, 254 nt
Filed under: uncultured bacterium
Lineage: Bacteria
Description: partial 16S ribosomal RNA
Rfam family: Bacterial small subunit ribosomal RNA
Source: RNAcentral